AAGGUACAGCAGGUGAUUGCUGGCAAAUGCCAGAGGAAAGUCCGGGCUGCAAUGAGACAAGGUUCCAUCUAACAGAUGGCUGGGGUAACCCAAGGGCAAGUGCAACAGAGAGUAGACUACCAUACUCCGGUAUGGUAAAAGGUGAAAGGGUGAGGUAAGAGCUCACCGGUACUCUGAGCAAUCAGGGUAGCCAGGUAAACCCAACCUGCAGCAAGAAGCGUAUGGUAAAUGUCUCAUAAUAAAACGCUUUGCUAAAACUCUUUUGUAAAAAAGAGUUUAGAUAAAUAAUCACCCACGACAGAACCCGGCUUAUCGCUGUACCACUUAC
RNAcentral lists this RNase P RNA (328 nucleotides) under Sulfurospirillum sp. RNAcentral's name for it is "RNase P RNA component class A". It matches the Rfam family "Bacterial RNase P class A". Rfam says of the family: Ribonuclease P (RNase P) is a ubiquitous endoribonuclease, found in archaea, bacteria and eukarya as well as chloroplasts and mitochondria. Its best characterised activity is the generation of mature 5'-ends of tRNAs by cleaving the 5'-leader elements of precursor-tRNAs. The record is from RNAcentral. Lineage: Bacteria; Pseudomonadati; Campylobacterota; Epsilonproteobacteria; Campylobacterales; Sulfurospirillaceae.